Molecule: non-coding RNA, 73 nt
Organism: Trichonephila inaurata madagascariensis
Lineage: Eukaryota; Metazoa; Arthropoda; Arachnida; Araneae; Nephilidae
Source: the annotation of a GenBank genome assembly
GUCCCUGUAGAGCAAUGGAUAUCGCUUUGGACUUCUUAUCCAAAGGUCAUGGGUUCGAAACCCACCUGGGACG